RNAcentral lists this ribosomal RNA (275 nucleotides) under uncultured bacterium. RNAcentral describes it as "partial 16S ribosomal RNA". It matches the Rfam family "Bacterial small subunit ribosomal RNA", at positions 338 to 629 of the family's 1533-position model. The record is from RNAcentral.
CCUACGGGGGGCUGCAGUGAGGAAUAUUGCCCAAUGGAGGAAACUCUGAGGCAGCGACGCCGCGUGGGUGAUGAAGGCCUUCGGGUCGUAAAGCCCUUUUCUGCAUGACGAGCGAGGACGGUAGUGCAGGAAAAAGUCUCGGCUAACUACGUGCCAGCAGCCGCGGUAAAACGUAGGAGGCAAGCGUUAUCCGGAGUUACUGGGCGUAAAGCGUGCGUAGGCGGAUGGGUAAGUGGGUGGUGAAAGCGCUCGGCUAAACCGGGCGAGUGCCAUUC